This 600-nucleotide long non-coding RNA is filed under the name Helianthus annuus (common sunflower). Its description in RNAcentral is "hypothetical non coding rna". The record is from RNAcentral. Lineage: Eukaryota; Viridiplantae; Streptophyta; Magnoliopsida; Asterales; Asteraceae.
UUCUCCGUCUUCCCGUCGCUCCUGCAUCCGCUCCGACACCUCCUUCACCCUCCUCAACAAUGCCUCCACCUGACCACCUCUUGCUUCCUCACUCAAUUGAUAGGCGAUGAUGACGACAGAGAUGGCGUACGCGGUGUUGUCGUCUUCGCGGACUACGGUGGUUUGACGGGGUGUUCUCCUUUCGCUUAUCUGUCUUCUAAAUUCCUCACUGUCAAUUCUUUACUCUAGCUUCUAAGGUUUAUCAAUCUGGAUUUUAGUAUUAAUUUGUUUUUGUUUUUAAUUUCUUUUUGAUGCCUUAUAUUAUUCGAUUGCUUGCAUAAGCUUCACUGCUAGCAACCUACUUAUUGUGAAGUUAUGUGUGUGAUACUUGCUAGCCCGUUACAAUUUCUUUAAGAUGUUUAUAAUUAUUUAAAACCAACUUAUUGUGAAGUUAUGUGUGUGAUACUUGCUAGCCCGUUACAAUUUCUUUAAGAUGUUUAUAAUUAUUUAAAACCAUACGAGAAGUUAUGUAUCUUUUAACUUAUAACAUGACAUACAUUUGAAAUUGGGUUUACAAAGUUUGACUUUGUGGCCAAUCUUGCGGAAAGUUUUCUCCAAUUU